CACGUGGGUAACCUGCCUUACAGAGGGGGAUAACAGUUUUGAAAAGACUGCUAAUACCGCAUAAGCACACAGUACCGCAUGGUACGGGGUGAAAAGAUUUAUCGCUGUAAGAUGGACCCGCGUCUGAUUAGCUAGUUGGCAGGGUAACGGCCUACCAAGGCGACGAUCAGUAGCCGACCUGAGAGGGUGAUCGGCCACAUUGGGACUGAGACACGGCCCAAA
Molecule: ribosomal RNA, 222 nt
Filed under: uncultured bacterium
Lineage: Bacteria
Description: partial 16S ribosomal RNA
Rfam family: Bacterial small subunit ribosomal RNA
Source: RNAcentral